UUAUAUUUAUAUUUAUAUAUAAAUAAAAUUAAACUAAAACUGUAAAGGAAAAAAAAUAAUUUUAAUUUCAAUAAUUAUAAUAUGUACCUUUUGCAUAAUGGUUUUAUAAAAUAUAUUAUAAAUUUAAUUUCCCGAAAUUAAUUGAGUUAGAAUAUUUAUAUUAUUAUUGUAGCAAAAAUAAGAAUAAAAAUAUUCUGGAAAUGAAAUGUUAUCGUAAUUAAAAAUAUCUGGUUAUUUAAGUUAAAUUAUAGAUUUAAAAUUUAUUUAUUUUAUUUAUUUUAUGGAUAAGCAUAAAAAGUUUUAACAGUUAAAACUUUAAAUUAAUAUUAAAAAUUUUAGAUAAAUAAAAAUUUAAAAUUAUAGAUUUAUUCUUUAUUCAAAAUUAAAUUUUAUUUUAAUUAAAGUUAAUAAAAAUGUAAAAAUUAGUAUAUAAAUUUUAUAAAUAUAAAUAUAUAUAAAUUUUAAAAAGGAAUUCAGCAAAUUAUAUUUCAUCUGUUUAUCAAAAACAUUGCUUUUUGUAAAUAUAAAAAGUAUUACCUGCCCAAUGAUUAAUUAAAUGGCCGCAGUAUAUUGACUGUGCAAAGGUAGCAUAAUCAUUUGUUUUAUAAAUUAAAUCUUGUAUGAAUGGAAAUAUGAAAAUAUAACUGUCUUUUUUUUAUAAAUAAAAUUUGCUUUUUUAGUGAAGAAGCUAAAAUUAUUUAAAAAGACGAAAAGACCCUAACGAGUUUAGAAUAUUUAAUUAAAUAUAAUUUUAAAUAUUUUUAGUUGGGGUGAUUAAAGAAUAAAUCUUCUUUUUUAUAUAAUUUAUAAUUAUUAAUCCAUUAAUAAUGAAUAAAAUGUAAAUUACCGUAGGGUUAACAGCAUAAUUUUUUUUAAGAGUUCAUAUUGACAAAAAAGAUUGUGACCUCGAUGUUGGUUUAAGAAACUUUUAUAAUGAAGAAGUUAUAAAAAUAAGUCUGUUCGACUUUUAAAAUCUUACAUGAUCUGAGUUCAAAUCGGUGUAAGCCAGAUUGGUUUCUAUCUUUUAAAUUAAAUUUAUUUAUAUCAGUACGAAAGGACAAUAUAAUAUUUAUUAU
RNAcentral lists this ribosomal RNA (1076 nucleotides) under Peripatoides sp. DVL-2010. RNAcentral describes it as "large subunit ribosomal RNA". The stretch from base 854 to 1012 matches the Rfam family "Archaeal large subunit ribosomal RNA", at positions 2542 to 2701 of the family's 2987-position model. The record is from RNAcentral. Lineage: Eukaryota; Metazoa; Onychophora; Udeonychophora; Euonychophora; Peripatopsidae.